AGUUGAUCACAAGUUCGUUGGCGACAGAUAAGCAAGCAGCUCGGCCCAAAGCAAGACAAGACCUCUAAAACCUAUACCGUAAAAGCCAUUCAUAAAAAAUGAUUACAGAUAAAUUAUCUUUGGCGAUUCUUUGCUGCUUGGUUGUAUCCUUAACCAUAUCGAAAGCCAAACAACUACAAGGAAGUUCUCUCGAUGACCUUUUGGAGGCUGGCGUCGAUGCGGAAAGCCAGACGAUGAACAAGCGAGCUUGCUACGACAAAUUCCCAUACCUGUGUCGUCGCCCUGGUAGUGUAAUGAUCUGUAAUAACGCUAAGCAUAGAAGCCAUGCCUUCAUAAUGGAUGUCUGUAGACACACAUGUCACGAGUGCUGAGCACUCCAAAUCUUCUUCGCUUAAGAAUCACAGGAAUCGUAAACGCAACGUAAUCAACUUUAAAUGAACGUAACCCAGUUAUUCAGUAAUGAAAAAGUAUCUAAAAACCUAUUAGAAAUAAUAAAUGAUAAAACUGAGCUCAAAUAUGUACUUGUAUAGGAAUGAGAUUAAGAUCGAUCUGUAGAAGAGAUCAAUAAAAACAACAGUGCUCGAACAAA
This is a long non-coding RNA of Actinia tenebrosa (Australian red waratah sea anemone), 589 nucleotides long. NCBI's taxonomy places the organism in Eukaryota, Metazoa, Cnidaria, Anthozoa, Actiniaria, Actiniidae. The record is from RefSeq and is a predicted model, not a curated record.